RNAcentral lists this ribosomal RNA (541 nucleotides) under Montemys delectorum (delectable soft-furred mouse). Its description in RNAcentral is "partial 16S ribosomal RNA". It matches the Rfam family "Bacterial large subunit ribosomal RNA", at positions 1816 to 2586 of the family's 2925-position model. Lineage: Eukaryota; Metazoa; Chordata; Mammalia; Rodentia; Muridae. The record is from RNAcentral.
CACCUCUAGCAUAACAAGUAUUAGAGGCAUUGCCUGCCCAGUGACUAAAGUUAAACGGCCGCGGUAUCCUGACCGUGCAAAGGUAGCAUAAUCACUUGUUCCUUAAUUAGGGACUAGCAUGAAUGGCUAAACGAGGGUUCAACUGUCUCUUAUUUUUAAUCAGUGAAAUUGACCUCCCAGUGAAGAGGCUGGGAUAACAUAAUAAGACGAGAAGACCCUAUGGAGCUUAAAUUAACAAGCUUAAUUAUUAACAUAACCCUCCUAAUGGAACAAAAACAACAUCAUAAGCUUAAAAUUUUGGUUGGGGUGACCUCGGAGAACAAAAAAUCCUCCGAAAGAUUAUAACAAAGACUAACAAGUCGAAGUAAAUAAUACAUUUAUCCAAUUGACCCAAAACAAUUUGAUCAACGGACCAAGUUACCCUAGGGAUAACAGCGCAAUCCUAUUUAAGAGUCCAUAUCGACAAUAGGGUUUACGACCUCGAUGUUGGAUCAGGACAUCCCAAUGGUGCAGAAGCUAUUAAUGGUUCGUUUGUUCAACG